UUGAUGCUUCACAGUCUUUUCAGAUGCGU
RNAcentral lists this non-coding RNA (29 nucleotides) under Rattus norvegicus (Norway rat). The record is from RNAcentral. Lineage: Eukaryota; Metazoa; Chordata; Mammalia; Rodentia; Muridae.